Non-coding RNA from Erinaceus europaeus (western European hedgehog), 75 nucleotides. The record is from Rfam. Lineage: Eukaryota; Metazoa; Chordata; Mammalia; Eulipotyphla; Erinaceidae.
GUUAGUGUGGCAGAGCCCGGUAAUUGCAUAAAAUUUAAGCUUUUAUAACCAGAGGUUCAAAUCCUCUCUCUAACA